UAAUUCCCAACUUUGUAAUCC
Molecule: non-coding RNA, 21 nt
Filed under: Caenorhabditis elegans
Lineage: Eukaryota; Metazoa; Nematoda; Chromadorea; Rhabditida; Rhabditidae
Source: RNAcentral